RNAcentral lists this ribosomal RNA (1765 nucleotides) under marine metagenome. RNAcentral's name for it is "bacterial LSU rRNA". It matches the Rfam family "Bacterial large subunit ribosomal RNA", at positions 445 to 2169 of the family's 2925-position model. The record is from RNAcentral.
UGGAGAGACCACUCUCCAAGGCUAAAUACUCUCUCGUGACCGAUAGUGCACUAGUACCGGUGAGGGAAAGGUGAAAAGUACUCCGAGAAGGAGAGUGAAAUAGUACCUGAAACCGUACGCUUACAAGCAGUCGGAGGGGGCUUGUCCCCUGACGGCGUGCCUUUUGCAUAAUGAGCCGGCGAGUUACUUGUAUGCAGCGAGGUUAACUCACUCAGUGAGGUAGCCGAAGCGAAAGCGAGUCUUAAUAGGGCGCUAUAGUUGCAUGCAGUAGACCCGAAGCCAGGUGAUCUACCCAUGGCCAGGAUGAAACGUGAGUAAAAUCACGUGGAGGUCCGAACCGUCGUACGUUGAAAAGUGCUCGGAUGAGCUGUGGGUAGGGGUGAAAGGCCAAUCAAACCUGGAGAUAGCUGGUUCUCCCCGAAAUAGCUUUAGGGCUAGCCUCUUGUAAAAGAGUCGUGGAGGUAGAGCACUGGAUCGGCUAGGGGGCUUACCCGCUUACCAAACCGAACCAAACUCCGAAUGCCAUUGACUUGUUCCAAGGGAGUCAGCGUGCGAGGGAUAAACUCCGUACGCGAGAGGGAAACAACCCAGACCGUCAGCUAAGGUCCCUAAGUGUAGGCUAAGUGAUUAAAAGGAUGUGAAAUUGCUGAGACAGCUAGGAUGUUGGCUUAGAAACAGCCACCAUUUAAAGAGUACGUAACAGUUCACUAGUCAAGUGAUUUCGCGCCGACAAUGUAUCGGGGCUAAGUUUACCACCGAAGCUACGGACUCAGCAGCCGCUUGCGGUUGCUGUUUGGUAGGGGAGCGUUCCAUAGUAGGCUGAAGGUAAACCGUAAGGUUUGCUGGACGAGAUGGAAGUGAUUAUGUCGGCAUGAGUAGCGAUAAUGCGGGUGAGAAUCCCGCACACCGAAAAUCUAAGGUUUCCUGGGCUAGGCUCGUCCUCCUGGGGUUAGUCGGGACCUAAGCUGAGGCCGAAAGGCGUAGGCGAUGGAAAACAGGCUAAAUAUUCCUGUACCACUUACAGCGUGUUUGAGCUAUGGGGUGACGCAGAAGUGAAAGGUCAGCCAGCGAUUGGAAAUGCUGGUCUAAGCUCGUAGGAGGGUCAUCUAGGUAAAUCCGGAUGACCAAUACUCUGAGAGGCGAUGGGGAGCCGCUUAGCGGCAUAAACUGACCCUAAUCAGGCUGCCAAGAAAAACCUCUAUGUGAAUUCUGUAGGUGCCCGUACCGCAAACCGACACAGGUAGAUGAGGAGAGUAUCCAAAGGUGCGCGAGUGAACCCUCGUUAAGGAAUUCGGCAAAAUUAUCCCGUAACUUCGGAAGAUGGGAUGCCCCUAGUAGGUGAAGCCCCUCGCGGGUGGAGCCCAAAGGGGCCGCAGAGAAACGGGCUGGGCGACUGUUUACCAAAAACACAGGUCUCUGCUAAGCCGUAAGGCAAUGUAUAGGGACUGACACGUGCCCGGUGCCGGUAAGUUAAGAGGAUGAGUUAGUCUUCGGACGAAGCUUUGAAUCGAAGCUCCGGUAAACGGCGGCCGUAACUAUAACGGUCCUAAGGUAGCGAAAUUCCUCGUCGGCUAAAAACCGACCUGCACGAAUCGUGUAACGACUUGGCCGCUGUCUCAACGAGGGACUCGGUGAAAUUGUAGUUCCGGUGAAGAUGCCGGAUACCCGCGGCAGGACAGAAAGACCCCGUGAACCUUUACUAUAGCUUGGUAUUGGAUUUUGACACUGCAUGUGUAGGAUAGGUGGGAGGCUAUGAAGCGGGAGC